Molecule: ribosomal RNA, 394 nt
Filed under: uncultured Alteromonadaceae bacterium
Lineage: Bacteria; Pseudomonadati; Pseudomonadota; Gammaproteobacteria; Alteromonadales; Alteromonadaceae
Description: bacterial SSU rRNA
Rfam family: Bacterial small subunit ribosomal RNA
Source: RNAcentral
GGAGGCAGCAGUGGGGAAUAUUGCGCAAUGGAGGAAACUCUGACGCAGCCAUGCCGCGUGUGUGAAGAAGGCCUUCGGGUUGUAAAGCACUUUCACUUGGGAAGAAAAGCUUAUCGUUAAUAGCGGUGAGCCGUGACAUUACCUUGAGAAGAAGCACCGGCUAACUCCGUGCCAGCAGCCGCGGUAAUACGGAGGGUGCGAGCGUUAAUCGGAAUUACUGGGCGUAAAGCGCGCGUAGGCGGUUGAUUAAGUCAGCUGUGAAAGCCCCGGGCUCAACCUGGGAAUUGCAGUUGAUACUGGCCGACUAGAGUGCAGGAGAGGGAGGUAGAAUUCCACGUGUAGCGGUGAAAUGCGUAGAUAUGUGGAGGAAUACCAGUGGCGAAGGCGGCCUCCU